This 2259-nucleotide unclassified non-coding RNA is filed under the name Zea mays. Its description in RNAcentral is "misc RNA Zm00001eb079350". Lineage: Eukaryota; Viridiplantae; Streptophyta; Magnoliopsida; Poales; Poaceae. The record is from RNAcentral.
CCGUGCCCCCGCCCUGGCGCCCCCUGGCCUCCACAAAAGCGUUCGCGCCCCUGCGCCCCUCACUGCGCAUCCGCAUCACUGCGUGUCCUCCUCCUCUCCCCCUCACUGCGGCGCAUCCACAUCUGCCAAUUUCUCCACCUCCUCCUCCUCGCCCCUGUGCCUCGACAUCUCGCAUCCGCUCCAUCUAUGGAAGGCCACCACGCGCCAUGGAUCGCCGCUCUCUACCGCCACCUCAAUUGAAGGUUCACCGCUCUCUACGCGGAUCCGCCACCUCCUCCUCGGCCGCCGUCAAUAGAAGGUCCCAGAUCUCCUCUCCCAUUACUUCUCUCCCCAUUACCGCGCUCGAGGUCUGCCAUUUUUGGAGGUCCGCCACUUCCGCCUCUGCUCGCCGUCAAUGGAAGGUCCUAGAUCUCCUCUCCCUAUUACCGCGCUCGAGUCAGUGGGAGGUCCGCCAUUUUUGGAAGGUCCGCCACCUCCUCCUCGACCCGCGGCAAAAAUGGCGUGGGAGAUCCGCCACCUCCUCCUCGGCCCGCGGCAAAAAUGGUGUGGGAGAUCCGCCACCUCACCUCCUCCCAUUCUCACGCCCGCGCCUGAUAUGGAAGGUCCGCCGAAGGGACUCGGACGUCGAGGCCAUGGCUGAGCCGCACCCCUUCUCCCCCUGCCUCGCGCGCGGCGGCCGAGAUGGUGUUGGCUGGGUUGUUCGGGAUGGUGGUCCUACCUGCCCUCCCUGCUAUCCUCGCCCCAAAUCGACGAGAAUCAUGCAGCCCAAAUCUGAGGUGGAGGCGCCUGCACUGUCGAUGGAGGUGUCGAGUCUGCGGUGGUGUCUGUAGAUGGGAAGGCAUGGUGUGCAGCAGCAGUGGCCAGGUGGUGUCGCUGAGCCUGUCCUCCUACGGGCUCACUAGCACGCUCUCCACGGCCAUCGGGGACCUCACGUUCCUACGUAUGCUGAACCUGAGCUCCAAUUGGUUCCACGGGGAGGUCCCAGCGACCAUCGUUCGCCUUGCGCAUCUGCAGGCGCUAGACCUGAGCUACAACGCCUUCACUGAAUUCCAGAGAUGCAAUUCCCGAGGCCAUGGAGCAGCAGACAAUAUCAAUUGCCAAAGCAGCCAUUACAAUAGUACUCAUUUUAGGGACUUCAUUUCUUGCAGCUGCCAAUCCAAUUACAGGAUGCUAUGACGCUCUUAAGUGAUCAUGAACUUAUACAUUGAAAUAAUGGUGGGCCUCGAGAGGCCAGGAGGUGGAGAGGAGUUCAACAAGUACUACAUCUUGUCUGCUCUCCUAUCCGUGGAUUGGGUGCCUGAAAUAUCCUAUAGAUGUCUUUAGUAGAGGAUCCAAAUAAUGGCCUGCAAGGUUUAUUGAAUCGGAUCGCACAAAACUCCAUCUGCUUCAGAAUUGAGCUAAGCGCAUCCUAACAUCUUGACUCCUAUAUCGAUCAAUUAUUUUUGUUACACAUUUGAUUCUUUAGUUUCGUAGAGGGAGGAACAUCGUGGGAUGCAGGCCCCACGGAACACCAGAUAUUUUGAGGUAGACCGCGGCGAGGUGCCCAAGGGCAGCGCCUAGAUCUUCUUCUGGAUGGUCAAGUUCUGUAACGACAAUGUGGCAGAGGAGAUGCCCUGAUCUUCGUACGCUGAAGGAUGUAUGCAUGGAAUAGAAGUCAGAUAAAUCUUUUGUGCAACAGGCUGAAGUCAUUCUUGUUGAUGGGAAAUUAACAGAGGCUAAGGCUAACCAGCUUGCUAAGGUUUAAAUGCAGGUUGGAGAACUCCCUUGUUCAGGCUUUUGUCUUUCUUCUGCAGAAGGAGAGAUGACGUGCUGCAUGACAUGAUGGCAUGUGAGGCAGCAACCUCUUCUCCGCAACCCUUGUCAUGGCCUGGAGUUGGUGUUCUAGGAAGGAGCACAAUUUUAUUAGGGUAGCCACCAGAGUUGAGGUCCCUUUUCAAUGGACGAACUUGGUGCUGUGGACGACAUCUGCUAUUGUAGCUAGGCGCAUACAUGUUUUCCUAUAAAUGCUAGCUCUGCAAUCACCAAAGGAAAACACAAGAGUACUCUUGGAGGAAAGUUUAGCAUUCAGUUUAACAAACCUUACCAACUCAUGCCUUGUUUGAAUGCAAUAAUGCAUGUUAUGUUGCCCUGUUGUUGCUUGGACACAUGCUUGGCAUGGCUAUUUUCUGGUUAUGUCACAACUCACAUCUCCCAUGUAAAUUUAUGGCUAUGAUAUGCAUCAAACAAGCUUAUAUUUUGCUCUUAAGUUGGUUCAAACAG